UAUUAAAAAUAUGAAAACUAUUAACUCACUUGUUUCUUCCAUUUAUGUAUACCUUUUAUCAAACAUCACAAAUUUUAAACCACACAAUUAAACAUUUCUUGAUAAAUACCUUGCCGGACAUGAAUGAGGAACUUUGGUCGGCUCUGGUUGUCUUGAGUCAACUAAAUGAGUCAACCUGUUUCCGAAAGAAGAUAGAAUUUUCAACUUAGAGACCAAGCCGGGUUGAAAUUUAAUUGAAUUAAGUUAAGAUGAGUCCCUGAGUUGACGCAACGAGCUCUCAAUCAAAGGCUCCUCCUUGCGCAUAAAACACUCAGAAGAGCUUACUAAAAUGAAGAUUGCUAUGGCAUUCCUUAAUAUUAUCUUAUAAAAAGUUAGUAGAGAUCUGGAUUAUCCAUUAAGAUAGGGCAUUUAGGGAAUUUUGUUGUUCAUAGGGAAUUCUGGUACACAGAUAAUUUUGGGACCUCAGAAUAGUGUAGAGACCUGUAGGGGCCUUUGAUCUUAAUGAAAAGGUCCCUUAUCAAAAAACUUUGCCUGCACCUUAGCAAGAGAAUCUAUGGCUAGGGAGAGACAAGUGGUAGGCAACCCUCAGUCCAUGUCA
RNAcentral lists this long non-coding RNA (598 nucleotides) under Phoenix dactylifera (date palm). RNAcentral describes it as "long non-coding RNA (PDAC_LNC002979)". The record is from RNAcentral. Lineage: Eukaryota; Viridiplantae; Streptophyta; Magnoliopsida; Arecales; Arecaceae.